This 63-nucleotide transfer RNA is filed under the name Phrynoderma hexadactylum (Indian five-fingered frog). RNAcentral's name for it is "tRNA-Cys". The record is from RNAcentral. Lineage: Eukaryota; Metazoa; Chordata; Amphibia; Anura; Dicroglossidae.
GCCUCGGGGUGUCAUCACGCAGGACUGCAAAUCCCGAGAAGCAGGCUAAUCCCUGCCGAGGCU